RNAcentral lists this transfer RNA (71 nucleotides) under Bos taurus (domestic cattle). It matches the Rfam family "tRNA". Rfam says of the family: Transfer RNA (tRNA) molecules are approximately 80 nucleotides in length. Their secondary structure includes four short double-helical elements and three loops (D, anti-codon, and T loops). Further hydrogen bonds mediate the characteristic L-shaped molecular structure. tRNAs have two regions of fundamental functional importance: the anti-codon, which is responsible for specific mRNA codon recognition, and the 3' end, to which the tRNAs corresponding amino acid is attached (by aminoacyl-tRNA synthetases). tRNAs cope with the degeneracy of the genetic code in two manners: having more than one tRNA (with a specific anti-codon) for a particular amino acid; and 'wobble' base-pairing, i.e. permitting non-standard base-pairing at the 3rd anti-codon position. The record is from Rfam by way of RNAcentral. Lineage: Eukaryota; Metazoa; Chordata; Mammalia; Artiodactyla; Bovidae. RNAcentral also lists the same sequence under 5 other names.
UCCCUGGUGGUUCAGAGGUUGACUCUGCGCUUCCAAUGCAGGGGGCCCAGGUUCAAUCCCUAGUCAAGGAA